AUUGAACGCUGGCGGCAGGCCUAACACAUGCAAGUCGAGCGGUAGCACAGAGAGCUUGCUCUCGGGUGACGAGCGGCGGACGGGUGAGUAAUGUCUGGGAAACUGCCUGAUGGAGGGGGAUAACUACUGGAAACGGUAGCUAAUACCGCAUAACGUCGCAAGACCAAAGUGGGGGACCUUCGGGCCUCAUGCCAUCAGAUGUGCCCAGAUGGGAUUAGCUAGUAGGUGGGGUAACGGCUCACCUAGGCGACGAUCCCUAGCUGGUCUGAGAGGAUGACCAGCCACACUGGAACGGAGACACGGUCCAGACUCCUACGGGAGGCAGCAGUGGGGAAUAUUGCACAAUGGGCGCAAGCCUGAUGCAGCCAUGCCGCGUGUGUGAAGAAGGCCUUCGGGUUGUAAAGCACUUUCAGCGGGGAGGAAGGCGGUGAGGUUAAUAACCUCAUCGAUUGACGUUACCCGCAGAAGAAGCACCGGCUAACUCCGUGCCAGCAGCCGCGGUAA
RNAcentral lists this ribosomal RNA (504 nucleotides) under uncultured bacterium. Its description in RNAcentral is "partial 16S ribosomal RNA". It matches the Rfam family "Bacterial small subunit ribosomal RNA", at positions 29 to 523 of the family's 1533-position model. The record is from RNAcentral.